UACAGAGGUCCCAAGCGUUGUUCGGAUUCACUGGGCGUAAAGGGUGCGUAGGUGGCUUUGCAAGUCUGAUGUGAAAUCUCCGGGCCCAACCCGGAAAUGGCAUUAGAAACUGCAGGGCUAGAGGCUUGGAGGGGGAACUGGAAUGCUCGGUGUAGCAGUGAAAUGCGUAGAGAUCGAGCGGAACACCAGUGGCGAAGGCGAGUUCCUGGACAAGUCCUGACACUGAGGCACGAAAGCCGGGGGAGCAAACAGG
RNAcentral lists this ribosomal RNA (253 nucleotides) under uncultured bacterium. RNAcentral describes it as "partial 16S ribosomal RNA". It matches the Rfam family "Bacterial small subunit ribosomal RNA", at positions 524 to 776 of the family's 1533-position model. The record is from RNAcentral.